RNAcentral lists this non-coding RNA (45 nucleotides) under Schistosoma margrebowiei. Lineage: Eukaryota; Metazoa; Platyhelminthes; Trematoda; Strigeidida; Schistosomatidae. The record is from RNAcentral.
ACCCCUUUGACGAGUCCCAAAUAGAACGAAACGUGUGUCCUGGAU